This 465-nucleotide ribosomal RNA is filed under the name uncultured Klebsiella sp. Its description in RNAcentral is "bacterial SSU rRNA". It matches the Rfam family "Bacterial small subunit ribosomal RNA", at positions 338 to 795 of the family's 1533-position model. The record is from RNAcentral. Lineage: Bacteria; Pseudomonadati; Pseudomonadota; Gammaproteobacteria; Enterobacterales; Enterobacteriaceae.
CCUACGGGUGGCAGCAGUGGGGAAUAUUGCACAAUGGGCGCAAGCCUGAUGCAGCCAUGCCGCGUGUGUGAAGAAGGCCUUCGGGUUGUAAAGCACUUUCAGCGGGGAGGAAGGCGUUAAGGUUAAUAACCUUGUCGAUUGACGUUACCCGCAGAAGAAGCACCGGCUAACUCCGUGCCAGCAGCCGCGGUAAUACGGAGGGUGCAAGCGUUAAUCGGAAUUACUGGGCGUAAAGCGCACGCAGGCGGUCUGUCAAGUCGGAUGUGAAAUCCCCGGGCUCAACCUGGGAACUGCAUUCGAAACUGGCAGGCUAGAGUCUUGUAGAGGGGGGUAGAAUUCCAGGUGUAGCGGUGAAAUGCGUAGAGAUCUGGAGGAAUACCGAUGGCGAAGGCGGCCCCCUGGACAAAGACUGACGCUCAGGUGCGAAAGCGUGGGGAGCAAACAGGAUUAGAUACCCCUGUAGUC